RNAcentral lists this ribosomal RNA (1470 nucleotides) under metagenome. RNAcentral describes it as "bacterial SSU rRNA". It matches the Rfam family "Bacterial small subunit ribosomal RNA". The record is from RNAcentral.
GCGGCGUGGCUAAGACAUGCAAGUCGAACGAACUGGCUAAUUGAGCGAUCGAGAGGCCAGUUAGUGGCGAAAGGGUUAGUAAUGGAUAGGUAACGUACCCUGUACUUCGGGAUAGCGUCGCUUGCCGAAAGGCAAGCUACCGAAAGGGGCAUUAAUACCGAAUAAUAUCAGGUGCCGGCAGGUGCCUGCUCAAAGAUUUAUCGGUGCAGGAGCGGCCUAUCUCCUAUCAGCUUGUUGGUGAGGUAACGGCUCACCAAGGCUUUGACGGGUAGCGGGACUGAGAGGUUGGCCCGCAACAUCGGAACUGAGACACUGUCCGGACCUCCACGGAGGGCUGCAGUAACGAAUCUUGCGCAAUGGGCGAAAGCCUGACGCAGCGACGCCGCGUGUGGGAGGAAGUCCUUCGGGAUGUAAACCACUGUCAGGGGUCAAAAAGUCCGUUUCGGCGGAUUGAUUUAACCCAGAGGAAGUCACGGCUAACUCUGUGCCAGCAGCCGCGGUAAGACAGAGGUGGCGAGCGUUGUUCGGUGUCACUGGGCUUAGAGCGUGUGUAGGCGGCAAAGUAAGCGCUUUGUGAAAGCCCCCGGCUCAACCGGGGAAUUGCUUGGCGAACUGCUUUGCUUGAGGCAAGAAGGGGUGCGGGGAACUCUUGGUGGAGCGGUGGAAUGCGUAGAUAUCAAGAGGAACGCCGGUGGUGAAGACGCCGCACUAUACUUGUCCUGACGCUGAGACACGAAAGCGUGGGGAGCAAACGGGAUUAGAUACCCCGGUAGUCCACGCCCUAAACGAUGUCUACUAGGUCGUGCGGGUUCUGACACUUGCAUGGCCGAAGCAAAAGUGUUAAGUAGACCGCCUGGGGAGUACGGCCGCAAGGCUAAAAUUCAAAGGAAUUGACGGGGGCUCACACAAGCGGUGGAGCAUGUGGAUCAAUUCGAAGCAACGCGAAGAACCUUACCAAGGCUUGACAUGCACUUGAAAAACCUGGAAACAGGUUCCCUCUUCGGAGCAAGUGCACAGGUGGUGCAUGGCUGUCGUCAGCUCGUGUCGUGAGAUGUUGGGUUAAGUCCCGCAACGAGCGCAACCCCUGUCCUAUGUUGCCAGCGAGUAAUGUCGGGGACUCAUAGGAGACUGCCGGUGACAAAUCGGAGGAAGGUGGGGAUGACGUCAAGUCAUCAUGCCCCUUAUGUCUUGGGCUACACACGUGCUACAUUGGCCGGUACAAAGGGCUGCAAACUCGCGAGAGUGAGCGAAUCCCAAAAAGCCGGUCCCGGUUCGGAUUGGAGGCUGAAACUCGCCUCCAUGAAGGCGGAGUUGCUAGUAAUCGCGAAUCAGCAACGUCGCGGUGAAUACGUUCCCGGGCCUUGUACACACCGCCCGUCACACCACGAAAGUUGGCAAUACCCGAAGCCGGUGGGCUAACCCGCAAGGGAGGCAGCCGUCGAAGGUAGGGUCGAUGAUUGGGGUGAAGUC